Molecule: ribosomal RNA, 774 nt
Filed under: uncultured Neocallimastigales
Lineage: Eukaryota; Fungi; Neocallimastigomycota; Neocallimastigomycetes; Neocallimastigales
Description: partial large subunit ribosomal RNA
Rfam family: Eukaryotic large subunit ribosomal RNA
Source: RNAcentral
GUACACGCUGUGACUAGCAUAUCAAUAAGCGGAGGAAAAGAAACUAACAAGGAUUCCCCUAGUAACGGCGAGUGAAGCGGGAAGAGCUCAAAUUUGAAAUCUUAAAGGGUUUCCCUUUACGAAUUGUAGUUUAAAGAAGUGUUUUCUGUUGAGGUUUUGGUAAAAGGUCUUUGGAAUAGGACAUCAUAGAGGGUGAGAAUCCCGUAUUUGACCUUUACUUUCAACUUUGUGAUACACUUUCAAAGAGUCGGAUUGUUUGGGAAUGCAGUCCAAAAUGGGUGGUAAAUUUCAUCUAAAGCUAAAUAUUGGCGAGAGACCGAUAGCGAACAAGUACCGUGAGGGAAAGAUGAAAAGAACUUUGAAAAGAGAGUUAAACAGUACGUGAAAUUGUCAAAAGGGAAGCGUUUGACACCAGUGUUGUUUUUCUGAAAAUCAAUUAAAGAACUGUUUAUGCUAAGUUGUUUAGACUUUAUCAGCUAACUGUUUAGUUUUGAGCUUUUCUUUAAUGCACUUUCCAGUUAACAAGUCAACAUCAAUUUCUUUUGCUGUAGAAAAGCUUGAGGAAGGUGGCUUGAGAUUCGUCUUAAGUGUUUAUAGCCUCUUGCCUAUGCAGUCGGAGAGAUUGAGGUCUGCAGCGUAGAUCCUUCGGGGCUAAAUGCAUUUGUGCUAAGUUAUAACAUUUUAUAGACAACUUGUUGACUAUGAUUUGUCUUGUAGCUUACUCGCUUAUGUUAUUUUACCUACGCUUAGGAUGUUGACAGCAGUAUAGACUGU